CUCUCUGCGAGAGGGAGCCUUUGCUCGGGUGGGGGGGACUCUGACAGCUUGGAGGAGCACAGCCGAGCAAAAAAAAAAAAAGAAAAAGACCGUCCACAAGUUUGCCUCUUGAUCGCCUUCAGAUUAACUUCGCAUGUCCUUGCAGGAUCUGCUGAAGGCCCUCCUCUUAGUGUAUUUGACAGGCUGUGUUGGACACUCGAUAUAAAUGGGUGUCAGUUUGUCAAAUACCCCAAGAGAGGGGUCACUUUUCAUCUGAAAGAAAGAAAUCUCCCAGAAGAGAAAGAGAGAGUGGACAUUUUUCAUCACCACUUGACUGUGAGAGAACACGUGUGGCGACAAUUGGUGUUUGCCACACUUGAUUUAAAUACAUAUCUUUCAAUCUUUCCUUACAGCUUUCAGAAUUGUGUUGUAAGAAGAUCAAUUAGUUAAUGUCAACUGGAAUUGCUAUGUAUUUUAAUUUCAAUGUAUUAAAAUGAUCAAAAGUAACAAGUCAA
Molecule: long non-coding RNA, 494 nt
Organism: Sardina pilchardus (European sardine)
Lineage: Eukaryota; Metazoa; Chordata; Actinopteri; Clupeiformes; Clupeidae
Exons: 2
Source: RefSeq, a predicted model, not a curated record